This 253-nucleotide ribosomal RNA is filed under the name uncultured bacterium. RNAcentral's name for it is "partial 16S ribosomal RNA". It matches the Rfam family "Bacterial small subunit ribosomal RNA", at positions 524 to 776 of the family's 1533-position model. The record is from RNAcentral.
UACGUAGGCAGCAAGCGUUGUUCGGAGUUACUGGGCGUAAAGAGUGCGUAGGUGGUGCCCUAAGUCUGUUGUGAAAUCCCCGAGCUCAACUUGGGAAUUGCAAUGGAUACUGGCAGGCUGGAGUAUGGUAGAGGAAGGUGGAAUUCCCGGUGUAGCAGUGAAAUGCGUAGAGAUCGGGAGGAACACCAGUGGCGAAGGCGGCCUUCUGGACCAAUACUGACGCUCAUGCACGAAAGCGUGGGGAGCAAACAGG